This 468-nucleotide ribosomal RNA is filed under the name uncultured bacterium. Its description in RNAcentral is "partial 16S ribosomal RNA". It matches the Rfam family "Bacterial small subunit ribosomal RNA", at positions 28 to 507 of the family's 1533-position model. The record is from RNAcentral.
GACGAACGCUGGCGGCGUGCUUAACACAUGCAAGUCGAACGGAAAGGCCCUGCUUUUGUGGGGUUCUCGAUUGGCGAACGGGUGAGUAACACGUGAGUAACCUGCCCUUGACUUUGGGAUAACUUCAGGAAACUGGGGCUAAUACCGGAUAGGAGCUCCUGCUGCAUGGUGGGGGUUGGAAAGUUUCGGCGGUUGGGGAUGGAUUCGCGGCUUAUCAGCUUGUUUGUGAAGUAGUGACUUACCAAGGCUUUGACGGGUAGCCGGCCUGAGAGGGUGACCGGGGUCAUUGCGACUGAGGUACGGACCAGAAUGGUACGGGACGCAGUAGUGGAGAACCUGACACAGCGAGGGGAAGUGUGAUGUAGAAGUCUCGCGAGCGGGAUGACGGGCUACGGGUGAUGAACAGCUGUGGAAUGAGACGUGGACUGAGUGACGGUAAUGGGUCAAGAAGCAACGGCUAACUACGUG